Molecule: ribosomal RNA, 497 nt
Filed under: uncultured bacterium
Lineage: Bacteria
Description: partial 16S ribosomal RNA
Rfam family: Bacterial small subunit ribosomal RNA
Source: RNAcentral
GACGAACGCUGGCGGCGUGCCUAAUACAUGCAAGUUGAGCGCUGAAGGUUGGUACUUGUACCAACUGGAUGAGCAGCGAACGGGUGAGUAACGCGUGGGGAGUCUGCCUUUGAGCGGGGGACAACAUUUGGAGACGAAUGCUAAUACCGCAUAAAAACUUUAAACACAAGUUUUAAGUUUGAAAGAUGCAAUUGCAUCACUCAAAGAUGAUCCCGCGUUGUAUUAGCUAGUUGGUGAGGUAAAGGCUCACCAAGGCGAUGAUACAUAGCCGACCUGAGAGGGUGAUCGGCCACAUUGGGACUGAGACACGGCCCAAACUCCUACGGGAGGCAGCAGUAGGGAAUCUUCGGCAAUGGACGAAAGUCUGACCGAGCAACGCCGCGUGAGUGAAGAAGGUUUUCGGAUCGUAAAACUCUGUUGGUAGAGAAGAACGUUGGUGAGAGUGGAAAGCUCAUCAAGUGACGGUAACUACCCAGAAAGGGACGGCUAACUACGUG